Molecule: long non-coding RNA, 1610 nt
Filed under: Macaca mulatta (Rhesus monkey)
Lineage: Eukaryota; Metazoa; Chordata; Mammalia; Primates; Cercopithecidae
Description: lncRNA (ENSMMUG00000058317.1)
Source: RNAcentral
AUUGCCCAUACGGUGAUGGAUGUGGCGUGCUGCCUGCCCUCAGGAGCUUCCAGUCUCAUUUGUUAAGCAGAAGUAACAGUGGCUGGACACAGCAGAUGAUAGGUGCGAGCUGAGUGGUACCAACAGGAAUGGCCUAGGCUGUUGCAGGGCUGAACUUGCUUUUUGCACUGGUUGCAUAAUGUGGUACAAGAGUUUGGCUGAGACCUGAGAGGGGAGUGAGAAAAAGGGAGAAGUGGAGGGAGGGAACUCUCAGUGGGAAGAAUGGCAAAGGCAAGAUUUGGAGGUUAGGAAAUUUGUGCCGUGCUCUAGGGCCACUGAGUCCCACAUCCAUUCAUCCUGUCCAACCACCCAACUAUCCAGCCCUAAUUUACCCAAACCAACACACCAACCACUUUACCCAGCCACCUUCCCACAUACCAUCCAACCCACCCAUCCAAGCCACCAGCCUAACCCAACCCCACAUCUAUCAUCAACCCACCAGCUCACCUCACCAGCAUGAGCCAGCUCUUCCACCCACCACCCAUCCCACCAGCCCCGGGGAAGAGCUUGAACUCCAGGGUGGAUGAUUGGGGUUCAAUUCUUGACUCUGUCACUUUCUGCUGUGGAGUCUUGGGCAACUUUCUUGACGUUUCUGUGUCUCAGAGUUGUUGUAUUUGAAAUGAGGGUGAUGAUCAUAUGUGUUAUUGUAAGGAGCUGAUGGCAUCUUGGGCCAAUGCACAGCAUCCCAGGCACGGCAUCUGGGAGCUAGUGAGUACUCACUCUACAGUCGCACUUGCUGUGUAGCUUGAUGUGAUUUAUUUCAAAGCCAGUGGGGCCCAUUAGGAAGGGGAGAACUGGGGCUGAAGCUGAGCUGGAGAAAGUUAAGCCAUAGAGAACUUUAAAAAAGGUUAAGCAGAAGGAUCAGAUCCCUGGGCUGGGGGCCCACCAGGCCAUUUGUCUGGGCCCAAAUCUGGUAGGGGGGAGAUGGAUACCUGGAGGCUCUUCCAUCAUCCCCCCACUCCAGGCGGACCUCCUUGGGAAGCUGGGGACCCGGAGUUUGUCAGCCAGGAACUCGUUCUCAUAUCUAAACCUCUCCGUGUGUCUAAACAUUUUGCUGAUGGGCCCAGCCCCAGCCAGCCAGCCUGGGCAGGGCAGCGGGGAGCAGGCCCGCUCAUCUGUAGAUCUUUCGUCCCUCUCCAAGACCCCAGCUGGCCCAACCCUCUUCCACCCUGUAUCCCACCAGCCUCCUGCAGACGGAAAGGAAGGUUUCCUGCAGCCCAUAUCCAGCCAGAAACCUCCAGUGGCUCCCAUCUAGCUGCCUCAAGAAAUGCUUUUGAUCAUCUAAAUCCAGGGCUCAUCUGCACCCUCGUGUGGUCCCAGCAGAGAAGACGAGGCACCGAGCUUCUCAGGACUCCGUCCUCGGUAGGCUGAGCCGUGCAGCCGGCUGGUGACAGCGGGAGGACCAGACGACCUUACCCAGAGCCUCACAGGCUGCAGAGCUUUAAUUUAUUUAAUCAAUUCUGGUCCCCGGGCUGGGGAAGGAAAACGGCAGGAUAUUAAAUCUGUCGCUCUCGCCAAUCUGUCAUAGGGCUGUCAGUGCACAUUGAUUCUCCUCCUCCCGCCUUUAUUAA